UGUGUUCCCCUUGUUUCCUUUUGUCCACAACUCAAAGACAACACACACACAAAAGAAAUCCGCAGACCAAGCAAACACAAACAAACAUCAUCACCUCCAACUCUCGCUCGUCUGAAUAUCGCCGGCUCCGGCAACCGGAGCCACUUCCGGCGACAAACACCACAACCCUCCUCCUUCACUAUAACACUUCCAUAACCGGUAUCACCUCUGUAAUCCAUCAUCGGAGAUCGGAGAACAAACAGGAGAAAACCCCUGAGUCGCCAAACUCACCGGAGCCUUACCGGAGUCCGAGGGAUCAACCGAAGACCUACGGACAUCGCGACGGGGAGCAUUCCAUCUCGUUCGACCACAUAAUCGCUCGCUGGAAGAACUCGAAGUGUUUUCCGGAGUAAUCGAGACGCCGUCGGAGUAACCAAGUUUGUCAGAGAUCACGACGAAAACCGUUUCGGCAUCGUUUAUCGGAUAACCUCUCUCGUUCGUUCCCUUGGAUUCUCACUCUUUACUUGUACGUUACAAGAAAUCGCAACGCAACCAAGGAUUGUGACAGAUGAAUCCAGUAGGAUUGCCUAGAAACGCAUUUAAACUUUGUUGCUCGUUGUAUUGUAAUCUACUUUCAAUCCUGUUGUAUUCUGGUUCCAAUACAUGUAAUAAUUCAUUAUUAAUGAAAUGAAUUAUAAUUACUUGAAUACUUAUUGUGCAUUAUUUAUUUUAAAUUUGAUUGUGACAGAUGAAUCCAGUAGGAUUGCCUAGAAACGCAUUUAAACUUUGUUGCUCGUUGUAUUGUAAUCUACUUUCAAUCCUGUUGUAUUCUGGUUCCAAUACAUGUAAUAAUUCAUUAUUAAUGAAAUGAAUUAUAAUUACUUGAAUACUUAUUGUGCAUUAUUUAUUUUAAAUUUGUUAUGUUCUAGAUCAAACCAUGUAAAAUGUAAACAUUGAAUACUUGACACACAUAAGCGUUAUGAAGUCUCGAGCAAUCUACACACUUCGUC
This 989-nucleotide long non-coding RNA is filed under the name Helianthus annuus (common sunflower). Lineage: Eukaryota; Viridiplantae; Streptophyta; Magnoliopsida; Asterales; Asteraceae. The record is from RNAcentral.